Molecule: ribosomal RNA, 465 nt
Filed under: Vreelandella stevensii
Lineage: Bacteria; Pseudomonadati; Pseudomonadota; Gammaproteobacteria; Oceanospirillales; Halomonadaceae
Description: partial 16S ribosomal RNA
Rfam family: Bacterial small subunit ribosomal RNA
Source: RNAcentral
CCUACGGGUGGCUGCAGUGGGGAAUAUUGGACAAUGGGGGCAACCCUGAUCCAGCCAUGCCGCGUGUGUGAAGAAGGCCCUCGGGUUGUAAAGCACUUUCAGUGAGGAAGAACGCCUGGUGGUUAAUACCCAUCAGGAAAGACAUCACUCACAGAAGAAGCACCGGCUAACUCCGUGCCAGCAGCCGCGGUAAUACGGAGGGUGCGAGCGUUAAUCGGAAUUACUGGGCGUAAAGCGCGCGUAGGUGGCUUGAUAAGCCAGUUGUGAAAGCCCCGGGCUCAACCUGGGAACGGCAUCCGGAACUGUCAAGCUAGAGUGCAGGAGAGGAAGGUAGAAUUCCCGGUGUAGCGGUGAAAUGCGUAGAGAUCGGGAGGAAUACCAGUGGCGAAGGCGGCCUUCUGGACUGACACUGACACUGAGGUGCGAAAGCGUGGGUAGCAAACAGGAUUAGAUACCCCAGUAGUC